Molecule: long non-coding RNA, 2314 nt
Organism: Coffea arabica (coffee)
Lineage: Eukaryota; Viridiplantae; Streptophyta; Magnoliopsida; Gentianales; Rubiaceae
Source: RefSeq, a predicted model, not a curated record
AGAAGGGGGCAGAGGUGGAAGUUGGUGAGGUUUCUAGAGUGUUAGUUUUUUUUUUUUCCCAAGAAACACCACGAGCAACACCCAAUUCAAACGGGCCUUUAAUCAUAUUUUCUAUUAAGUAGAUGUUUGCUUUCUUUAUUCCUUUAUCUUGAUUGGCUGUUAAGAACACUGCUGCAUCAUAUACUUGCAUCGAUUGUGGACGAAGGACUUCAGUUCCAUAUCGUGCACAAGGCUUUCUCCUUUUUUUUCUGUGUAAAAAAAAGCAUUAAUGUAAAGUUUAAAUUGUAGUCACCUUAGCUAGCAAGUAGGUCUGCAGGGUAGAAUUGUACGUGUUCAAAUUCCAUUGUCUGUACACUUGUCCCGUGUUGAUGUGGUGAACUAAUUUAGAUUCCUAAAUUAAGAUAUUAGCAAGGUCAUAUGUUUUGCUCAUAAGAGUUUAGAUGGACUUAGCAGCAUCAACUAAGUGAAUUUACAGAAAUCAUAGUCUUAUAGAGAGUGGAAAUUUUGGGUGGAAUGUAGCGAGGAUGUAAAUCUUUGUCUUGCUUUCCUUUUCCCCGAGUCCAGUCUCCUAUUUCCUAUGAUCAAAACACUUAAAUUAUAUGAAGUUUCUCCUCAAUAAUCCUUUCCUUUGUUUCUCAAUAUAUUUCUUUGACUUGUAUCAUCCUUUAUACUUCCUUUUUGAACUAAUGUAUAGGUCUAGUUAUCUCUUAUAGCGAUACCAGUCCUCUGAUACCAGAUUUUGGAUCCAGUGAGUACAAGUUUUUCGAUGGGACUUAGCUAACUAUAUUUUGGAUGUCUUUGUUCUUUGUUCUAUUCUAAUUGCAUGCUGCUAUUUAUCGGCAUUGACUAAUGCAGAAAUGCAGAUUUAUUUAUAGAGAGUUGCCAUCCCAAGUAGCUCAAUCGUGGAGGAUGGAGAUGGGUGGAAUACUUAAAGGCAAUCCAGUUCCAGUUUAAUAGAUGCAAUGCUUUUAGGCCUACUUGAGCUAUGCGAGAUGUAAAUGGAUAAGCCAUUUCGGGCAAUUCAAUGGAAGAACCAAAGAGAUACGUUUGCAGUGGACAAGUUGUUGAAUCUGCCAAGUCUUCUGCAUCUGUCUCAUCAUGCUGCUUGUUGCUAAAGAAGGGUUGCUGCAAGCUGACUGAUGUUGGAAAGGAGCUGAAUGGAGGAAAUGGAAGUAAAAAGGGGAAUAAGUCCUUGAAAAAGGAAGAAUUGAUUUAUCUUGUAACCAUGAUUGCUUGUGCAUGAAAAUCUAGGUUUUCCUAGAAGAGUCUUGGUAGAUAAUACUGUAUAGAGGAGAACAUCGAGAAAAGUACAAAACCUGUUGGCCUUCCUUGUCAAAAUUGUACUAUGUGGCCAAGUUGAGUUGCUGCAGACCCAUGUGUUGGUGAUGCUAAACUGGGAUGAAUUGGAUUAGUUUUAUUCCAAGACUUCUUCCUUCCCUGCACUACAUCUUGGUUGAUGAACGAAGAGUCUCAUGCUGUAGCUUUUCUGCUGAUUAUGGUUUUGAUUCAUAACUAAAAGAAUUCAUGGUUUAAGACAAAAAGUGCUGAAGCAGCUGAGCAAAAGUUGUUGCAAUGACAGGAAUGUAGCUUUUGACCAGAAGAUGAUGAAGAUGCCUAAAACUGAUAGGAUUCGAGUGAUCAGUUAUAGGGAAACUGGAAAGUGUUGCUGAACUCAGCAUGGAUAUCUUGAUGCAAUGUGCUUGAAGCUUUGUGUACUGCAACAGCCAAAAAGAAUGUAGAGAGAAGAUCCAUAAGAGAGUAACACUAAAGAUCCAUAAGAGCAGAUCAAGUGGUCAUUAGCCCUGGAAAAGAAAAAUGCGAGCGGCCCUGGUUUUGAUGGUCAUGAUUCCCUUAAGAAUGAAGGGUUUCUGGUUUUUGUGGAAAACCACGAAUGUUAUGCUCUAGAUGCAACGGUAUAAACCAUGCCAUCCAAAGAUCCUCUUACAUGUUGGAUGAUUGUUGGUCACGUAAAGAACAAGUUUGCUAAAUUCAUCUGUAGAUAUGGAGUAUAUGCAGUUUGCAGAUGCAAAACAUUUGAAAUCAAGGGACAAUUCAUUGAGAAAACUCUUCAUGUACUUCGGUUGCCGACCUGUCGAGGGAGGACGGAUGCAUUAUUAUCUUAAACAGCUAUCCUUGGAGUUUCUGGUUGCAAUUUGCAAGCACGAUAAUCUCACAGAGUGACUCCUAUCAAAUCAUUUUACAAACAGGUUUGGUAUUUUAUGCUUAACCAAAUGUAUUGGAGUUGAAUUAUUAAGCACAAAGUUCAACGUUUAUGGAACUAGGGAUAAUAUUCUUCUGUCAUAUCUUGUACUAA